AACAACUAGGACAAGAGGCAAUGGACAGAAGCUGAUGCACAGCAAGUUCCACCUGAAUAUGAGGAACAACUUCUUUACUGUGCAAGUGAUCACACACUGGAACAGGUUGCUCAGAGAGGUUGUGGAGUCUCCCUCACUGCAGAUAUUCAAAAACCAUCUGGACUCAAUCCUGUGCCAUGUGCUCUGGUAUGACCUUGCUUGAGCAGGAAGGUUGGACCAGAUGACCCGUUGUUGUUCCUUCCAACCUCACUCAGUGAUUCUCCAACAGGAGCUGCUUUUGGAACACAGGAAGAAAUGCUAACAACUUGGAAAAUUUCUGGCAGUAACCUGUGAAUUAGCUCCUACCUGCAACAUGGAGAUAAUCACAUCCUUCUCACCAUUAAGAUUAAAGACUUGUGAGAGA
This is a long non-coding RNA of Passer domesticus (house sparrow), 403 nucleotides long. RefSeq lists it as uncharacterized. The record is from RefSeq and is a predicted model, not a curated record. Lineage: Eukaryota; Metazoa; Chordata; Aves; Passeriformes; Passeridae. The transcript is spliced from 2 exons.